AAAAUAGGCCACAGGUUCACCCCUUCGUCCCAGAAAAAGAAAUAGGAGCAUGAGAUUAGUCAACAGAACAAGGAUGCCAGGAGUUCUUAGGCAGGGAUGUCUGGGGGCUCACAUUCCUUUGUGUAGUUCUUCGUUUGCUUAUUUUAUAUUAUUAUAUUUAGUAAUCUCUACACCCAAUGAAUGCUCUUCCUACUGAACCAUCCAGGCAAACCUGUGCCUUAUUUGUGCCUUAUUUGACACAAUUUUUUAUUGAGUUUCCACACAGGUCGGUCUCUGUGCUAGCCCUCAAGAUGCCCAGGUGAGAAGAUGUGGACUCUGCCCUCAAGUUGUUCCCAGCUGAGAGAAAACGGAGAAGCCAACACUCAGGAUGUGCUGGGAUGGAGCUGGCUGUGGAGUGGGUGGGUAGACAGGACUCCCACCACACCUCCCUGGGAGAAGGGGAGAAGACACUUUGAAAGUUCCUCACAGACCUGUCUAUUGAUGUUCUUGGUUCUACUCUUCAGAUCUCAGCCAGUAAUCAAUCAGGAGUCCCCACUGGUAGACCUAGAUCCUGCCUAUGUUCUCAAGAACCAUGGCCACUGGCAACUGAAAUACAGCUUAAGUGCUUGCUAAUGGAGGAGCCCACCCCCCUUGGCCCAGACCCUCCCCCACCCCGGUGGGGCUACAGCGCUGAGAAUCUAUGAAGAAAGGCCAGCUUGCCCGCUCACCUCAGUUUGGGGGGGGAAAGAGGUAAAGAACAUUAUCAGGUCAAUUGAAGAGAGGAUUGUAUUAAUACUAAAUUUACUGAAGUUGAUUAAUAUACUGUGGUUAUGUAAGGGAAUAUUUUUGUUCUUAGUACAUACACACUGAUGUAUUUAGGGGUAAAGAGCCAUGAUGUACCAUUUUCUUUCCAAAGAUUCAGAAAAAUGUUUUAUAUAACAUAUGGAUAUUUGUAAACACUUAUUUACAUAUAUGUCUACAUAUAUAAAGAGAGAGAGCAAAUGAUGAAACAAAUGGGCAAAAUGUUAAUAGGUGGAUCUAAGCAAGAUGUAGGUAUUCUGUGUCCAAUUUAUAUUUCUGC
This 1060-nucleotide long non-coding RNA is filed under the name Canis lupus dingo (dingo). RNAcentral describes it as "lncRNA (ENSCAFG00020002546.1)". Lineage: Eukaryota; Metazoa; Chordata; Mammalia; Carnivora; Canidae. The record is from RNAcentral.